RNAcentral lists this long non-coding RNA (392 nucleotides) under Actinidia chinensis (golden kiwifruit). Its description in RNAcentral is "long non-coding RNA (ACHI_LNC001322)". The record is from RNAcentral. Lineage: Eukaryota; Viridiplantae; Streptophyta; Magnoliopsida; Ericales; Actinidiaceae.
AACACUAUCAAAAAAGAACCCAAGGAAGGUUGGACUUGCUCACAUUAGGUCAAUCAGUCACUCACCAACGCAUUUACCCCCUUCUGUUGAAGGGGGCACGCUAUUAGAUGAGUAUAUUUAUGUCUUAUAUCUUUCUUUAUCAUUCCCUUGUUGUUAAUAGGAUGGUGCUCAUGUCUAGGGAAGAGUUUGGCAAGAGUGUUCAGUGCAUAUACAAUAUAAACUUAUGGACCUCUUUAUUCCACUUCCCCAAGCUUUUCUGACCCGACUAGUCUCACUGUUCUCUUCACCUCCUCUCCCCUGAAUCAGUAAAUAGCUAAUGACUAGUGAGCAUAUUCAACUAGUCUCGUACUACUUCGCACCCUUCCCUACGACCUCAAGUCUCAUUCAGGCCC